CUCGGNGGCGCGGAUUAGGCAUGCAAGUCGAACGCGAAAGUUCCCUUCGGGGAGCGAGUAGAGUGGCGAAAGGGUGAGUUAAUGCUUGGAUGACCUGCCCUCGAGACGGGGACAACAGUUCGAAAGGACUGCUAAUACCCGAUAGUCCGGUUUAGAUGCGUCUAGAUCGGUAAAUGGUGCUUCCGCUCGAGGAGGGGUUCAAGUCCUAUCAGCUUGUUGGUGAGGUAACGGCUCACCAAGGCGAUGACGGGUAGCCGGACUGAGAGGUUGGCCGGCCACAUGGGAACUGAGACACUGUCCUGACUCCUACGGGAGGCUGCAGUCGAGAAUCUUCUGCAAUGGGCGAAAGCCUGACAGAGCGACGCCGCGUGGAGGAUGAAGGCCCUCGGGUCGUAAACUCCUGUCACAUGUUAUGAAACGCACAGGUCUACCUGUGCGCUGACAAAAGCAUGAGAGGAAGUCACGGCUAACUUCGUG
This 477-nucleotide ribosomal RNA is filed under the name uncultured bacterium. RNAcentral describes it as "bacterial SSU rRNA". It matches the Rfam family "Bacterial small subunit ribosomal RNA", at positions 38 to 507 of the family's 1533-position model. The record is from RNAcentral.